UACGUAGGCAGCAAGCGUUGUUCGGAGUUACUGGGCGUAAAGAGUAUGUAGGCGGUUGGGUAAGUUUGGUGUGAAAUCUCCCGGCUUAACUGGGAGGGUGCGCUAAAGACUGCCCGGCUCGAGUGUGGGAGAGGAAAGCGGAAUUCCUGGUGUAGCGGUGAAAUGCGUAGAUAUCAGGAGGAACACCUGCGGUGUAGACGGCUUUCUGGACCAUAACUGACGCUGAGAUACGAAAGCGUGGGUAGCAAACAGG
This 253-nucleotide ribosomal RNA is filed under the name uncultured bacterium. RNAcentral's name for it is "partial 16S ribosomal RNA". It matches the Rfam family "Bacterial small subunit ribosomal RNA", at positions 524 to 776 of the family's 1533-position model. The record is from RNAcentral.